RNAcentral lists this ribosomal RNA (510 nucleotides) under uncultured bacterium. RNAcentral describes it as "partial 16S ribosomal RNA". It matches the Rfam family "Bacterial small subunit ribosomal RNA", at positions 28 to 507 of the family's 1533-position model. The record is from RNAcentral.
GACGAACGCUGGCGGCGUGCUUAACACAUGCCAGUCGAACGAAGAGCGAUGGAAGCUUGCUUCUAUCAAUCUUAGUGGCGAACGGGUGAGUAACGCGUAAUCAACCUGCCCUUCAGAGGGGGACAACAGUUGGAAACGACUGCUAAUACCGCAUACGAUCUAAUCUCGGCAUCGAGGAUAGAUGAAAGGUGGCCUCUACAUGUAAGCUAUCACUGAAGGAGGGGAUUGCGUCUGAUUAGCUAGUUGGAGGGGUAACGGCCCACCAAGGCGAUGAUCAGUAGCCGGGCUGGGAGGAUGAACGGCCACAUUGGGACUGAGACACGGCCCAGACUCCUACGGGAGGCAGCAGUGGGGAAUCUUCCGCAAUGGACGAAAGUCUGACGGAGCAACGCCGCGUGAGUGAUGACGGCCUUCGGGUUGUAAAGCUCUGUUAAUCGGGACGAAAGGCCUUCUUGCGAAUAGUGAGAAGGAUUGACGGUACCGGAAGAGAAAGCCACGGCUAACUACGUG